Molecule: ribosomal RNA, 420 nt
Filed under: Fusobacteriota bacterium
Lineage: Bacteria; Fusobacteriati; Fusobacteriota
Description: Fusobacteria bacterium partial 16S ribosomal RNA
Rfam family: Bacterial small subunit ribosomal RNA
Source: RNAcentral
UGGGGGAUAUUGCACAAUGGGCGAAAGCCUGAUGCAGCGACGCCGCGUGGGGGAUGAAGGCCUUCGGGUUGUAAACUUCUUUUGCUCUGAACAAGGCAUGCCUUUGGGGUGUGUUGAGUGUAGGGGUUGAUUAGCGCCGGCUAACUACGUGCCAGCAGCCGCGGUAAUACGUAGGGCGCGAGCGUUGUCCGGAAUUAUUGGGCGUAAAGGGCUUGUAGGUGGCUGGUUGCGUCUGUCGUGAAAGCUCAUGGCUUAACUGUGGGUUUGCGGUGGGUACGGGCUGGCUUGAGUGCAGUAGGGGAGGCUGGAAUUCCUGGUGUAGCGGUGGAAUGCGCAGAUAUCAGGAGGAAUACAGGUGGCGAAGGCGGGUUUCUGGGCUGUUACUGACGCUGAGGAGCGAAAGCGUGGGGAGCGAACAGG